UACAGAGACUGCAAGCGUUAUUCGGAUUCACUGGGCGUAAAGGGCGCGUAGGCGGCUCAUACAGUCAGAUGUGAAAUUCCUGGGCUUAACCUGGGGGCUGCAUUUGAUACGUGUGGGCUUGAGUGGGGAAGAGGGUCGUGGAAUUCCCAGUGUAGAGGUGAAAUUCGUAGAUAUUGGGAAGAACACCGGUGGCGAAGGCGGCGACCUGGUCCUUGACUGACGCUGAAGCGCGAAAGCGUGGGGAGCAAACAGG
Molecule: ribosomal RNA, 253 nt
Filed under: uncultured bacterium
Lineage: Bacteria
Description: partial 16S ribosomal RNA
Rfam family: Bacterial small subunit ribosomal RNA
Source: RNAcentral